Molecule: ribosomal RNA, 634 nt
Filed under: Pseudomonas sp.
Lineage: Bacteria; Pseudomonadati; Pseudomonadota; Gammaproteobacteria; Pseudomonadales; Pseudomonadaceae
Also listed under: 1 other name
Description: bacterial SSU rRNA
Rfam family: Bacterial small subunit ribosomal RNA
Source: RNAcentral
GGGAGCUUGCUCCUUGAUUCAGCGGCGGACGGGUGAGUAAUGCCUAGGAAUCUGCCUGGUAGUGGGGGACAACGUUCCGAAAGGAGCGCUAAUACCGCAUACGUCCUACGGGAGAAAGUGGGGGAUCUUCGGACCUCACGCUAUCAGAUGAGCCUAGGUCGGAUUAGCUAGUUGGUGAGGUAAAGGCUCACCAAGGCGACGAUCCGUAACUGGUCUGAGAGGAUGAUCAGUCACACUGGAACUGAGACACGGUCCAGACUCCUACGGGAGGCAGCAGUGGGGAAUAUUGGACAAUGGGCGAAAGCCUGAUCCAGCCAUGCCGCGUGUGUGAAGAAGGUCUUCGGAUUGUAAAGCACUUUAAGUUGGGAGGAAGGGCAGUAAGUUAAUACCUUGCUGUUUUGACGUUACCGACAGAAUAAGCACCGGCUAACUCUGUGCCAGCAGCCGCGGUAAUACAGAGGGUGCAAGCGUUAAUCGGAAUUACUGGGCGUAAAGCGCGCGUAGGUGGUUCGUUAAGUUGGAUGUGAAAGCCCCGGGCUCAACCUGGGAACUGCAUCCAAAACUGGCGAGCUAGAGUAUGGUAGAGGGUGGUGGAAUUUCCUGUGUAGCGGUGAAAUGCGUAGAUAUAGGAAGG